GCUUCCGUGACAUAUUAGAAUAACGAAAAAACUAUUUAUAUUUAAACAUUUAAAACGCAUAUUGCAGCCUUUUCCAAGUGAUAACCUAUACGCGCGGUAGCGUUUAAGUGGAAGCGGUGCUACUUGACACAUUUGCUAUGACGCAAACGUUACAACCAUUAAUUUCAAUUCACGUAAUAUUCGUAUUCUCCGAAACAUUGAAACACGUCACCAUUUUAUUUUUAUUAUCAUCACUUAUUCACUUUCGUAAUUUAAAAUAAUAAUAAUAAUAAUAAUUAAGAAUAAACGUGUUUAUAAUAUUAUAAUUUUC
Molecule: non-coding RNA, 310 nt
Organism: Cinara cedri
Lineage: Eukaryota; Metazoa; Arthropoda; Insecta; Hemiptera; Aphididae
Source: the annotation of a GenBank genome assembly